UCCGUAAGGUGAACCUGCGGAGGGAUCAU
RNAcentral lists this ribosomal RNA (29 nucleotides) under fungal endophyte MUT 2715. RNAcentral describes it as "partial 18S ribosomal RNA". Lineage: Eukaryota; Fungi; Ascomycota; Sordariomycetes; Diaporthales; Cytosporaceae. The record is from RNAcentral.